This 383-nucleotide long non-coding RNA is filed under the name Haliotis rufescens (red abalone). Its description in RNAcentral is "uncharacterized LOC124121774, transcript variant X1". The record is from RNAcentral. Lineage: Eukaryota; Metazoa; Mollusca; Gastropoda; Lepetellida; Haliotidae.
AAUCCUAGGGAAUCAUUCUGUCUUCUGUGUGGAUCACGCUAGUCGAGAAAACAGACAGAUACAUACGAUACCAAAGAUAAAUGGGUGCUAAACCAGGGAAGGAGCUGAACUUCGAUGUGAAAGUUAAUGGUUCACACAAACAGGGAGGAACGCACAUCGACAACCAAGGCAAUAUUGGUAACAUUACCACUGGUGACAACAACUCCGGCAAUAAUACUGCCUCAGUCGGGGGGCAGCCUGGGAAGAGUCCAAAGCAAUAGACAGUUUUUGUAGAUUCUGGCUCCAACUUGGUGUUAAGGUCAAGCACAGUCACGCCCUCAAAGACGAUAAUGGCAUCAAGUGCAAGGACUUACCCCUUAGCAACGGACGACAAAGAGGAAGAC